This 667-nucleotide ribosomal RNA is filed under the name uncultured fungus. Its description in RNAcentral is "eukaryotic LSU rRNA". It matches the Rfam family "Eukaryotic large subunit ribosomal RNA", at positions 24 to 664 of the family's 3401-position model. The record is from RNAcentral. Lineage: Eukaryota; Fungi.
CCCGCUGAACUUAAGCAUAUCAAUAAGCGGAGGAAAAGAAACUAACAAGGAUUCCCCUAGUAACUGCGAGUGAGGCGGGAAAAGCUCAAAUUUAAAAUCUGGCGGUCUUGCAGCCGUCCGAGUUGUAAUCUGGAGAAGCGUUUAUCCGCGUCGGACCGUGUACAAGUCUUCUGGAAGGGAGCGUCGUAGAGGGUGAGAAUCCCGUCUUUGACACGGACAACCGGUGCUUUUGUGAUGCGCUCUCGAAGAGUCGAGUUGUUUGGGAAUGCAGCUCAAAAUGGGUGGUAAAUUCCAUCUAAAGCUAAAUAUUGGCGAGAGACCGAUAGCGAACAAGUACCGUGAGGGAAAGAUGAAAAGCACUUUGGAAAGAGAGUUAAACAGUACGUGAAAUUGUUGAAAGGGAAACGUUUGAAGUCAGUCGCGUCGGCCGAGACUCAACCUUGCUUCUGCUCGGUGCACUUCUCGGUUGACGGGUCAGCAUCAAUUUCGCCUCUCGGAUAAUGGCGAGGGAAAAGUGACACCUUUACGGUGUGUUAUAGUCUCUCGUCGCAUGCGAGGGUCGGGAUUGAGGGACUCAGCACGCGCCCUCGGGCGUCGGGGCUUUCGCCCACGAUACGUGCUUAGGAUGUUGGCGUAAUGGCUUUAAACGACCCGUCUUGAAACACGG